UACGUAGGGUGCAAGCGUUGUCCGGAAUUAUUGGGCGUAAAGAGCUCGUAGGCGGUCUGUCGCGUCGGCUGUGAAAACUCGGGGCUUAACCCCGAGCCUGCAGUGGAUACGGGCAGACUAGAGGUAGGUAGGGGGAGAAUGGAAUUCCCGGUGUAGCGGUGAAAUGCGCAGAUAUCGGGAGGAACACCAGUGGCGAAGGCGGCGACCUGGGCCAAUACUGACGCUGAGGUGCGAAAGCGUGGGAGCAACAG
This 251-nucleotide ribosomal RNA is filed under the name uncultured bacterium. RNAcentral describes it as "partial 16S ribosomal RNA". It matches the Rfam family "Bacterial small subunit ribosomal RNA", at positions 524 to 775 of the family's 1533-position model. The record is from RNAcentral.